This 253-nucleotide ribosomal RNA is filed under the name uncultured bacterium. RNAcentral describes it as "partial 16S ribosomal RNA". It matches the Rfam family "Bacterial small subunit ribosomal RNA", at positions 524 to 776 of the family's 1533-position model. The record is from RNAcentral.
UACGAGGGGGGCGAGCGUUGUUCGGAAUUAUUGGGCGUAAAGAGCUCGUAGGCGGCCUGUUGCGUCCGCUGUGAAAGCCCGGGGCUUAACCCCGGGUCGGCAGUGGAUACGGGCAGGCUAGAGGUAGGUAGGGGAGAAUGGAAUUCCCGGUGUAGCGGUGAAAUGCGCAGAUAUCGGGAGGAACACCGGUGGCGAAGGCGGUUCUCUGGGCCUUACUUGACGCUGAGGAGCGAAAGCGUGGGGAGCGAACAGG